AUUGAACGCUGGCGGCAGGCUUAACUCAUGCAAGUCGAGCGGGGUGAUGGUGCUUGCACUAUCACUUAGCGGCGGACGGGUGAGUAAUGCUUAGGAAUCUGCCUAUUAGUGGGGGACAACAUCUCGAAAGGGAUGCUAAUACCGCAUACGUCCUACGGGAGAAAGCAGAGGAUCACUUGUGACCUUGCGCUAAUAGAUGAGCCUAAGUCGGAUUAGCUAGUUGGUGGGGUAAAGGCCUACCAAGGCGACGAUCUGUAGCGGGUCUGAGAGGAUGAUCCGCCACACUGGGACUGAGACACGGCCCAGACUCCUACGGGAGGCAGCAGUGGGGAAUAUUGGACAAUGGGGGGAACCCUGAUCCAGCCAUGCCGCGUGUGUGAAGAAGGCCUUAUGGUUGUAAAGCACUUUAAGCGAGGAGGAGGCUCUUUUGGUUAAUACCCAAGAUGAGUGGACGUUACUCGCAGAAUAAGCACCGGCUAACUCUGUGCCAGCCGCCGCUGUAA
RNAcentral lists this ribosomal RNA (503 nucleotides) under uncultured bacterium. RNAcentral's name for it is "partial 16S ribosomal RNA". It matches the Rfam family "Bacterial small subunit ribosomal RNA", at positions 30 to 523 of the family's 1533-position model. The record is from RNAcentral.